GGUUCCUCAUGGAUCACUCCCUUCUCUCCACUACAGCAUUGUCACUAGCAUCGCUGUUGGGAACAUAUACCUUCCAACUGUUGGGUUCCUAGGGUCCCAACUACCUUCUCAAUUUUUUCUUUUCCAGUGUGAGUUGGGUGUUCCAGAUAAAGAAAGUAACAGGGCAGAGCCCACAGACCCACAAGAACAUGGAGUUCAGGGAAUGACCUGGAAGUCAGGGAUCUUGAAGACAUUCCCUGGGGAGAAGGCCCCCAAAGUGACUCUAAACCAACUUCCCCAGAGCCAAAGCCUUUAUUGUGCUUUUGCCUUAUGGAUCUGGUUGUCUAUUAAAAUAUGGACAUAUUUCUCAGGCUUUUGCUAGGAAUCUCUAUCCUGGAACUGUUGUGACAUAUCUGUCUACUAAGCUAAGUGGCUUCAUGACUCAUAGCUCUGCUUCAUGGAGAGACUGGAAGGCUACCCAGCUUGAGACACCAUCUUCCGCUUUCUCCCAGGAAAGUUAAGUGUGAGCGUCCCACCUUCCCACUACAAGCCUAACACUCUGUUACAAAGAGAUCAGCUUGUACCUUAAUAGCUAUUCUCACCUGACUAGACUGAGAUGGUGCAGACGUGAGCAGAACCUGAGGAGGAAGAAACCCAUAAUUCUUUCUUCUCAUUACUGGAGAGGCCCACCACCAGAUACAG
This 681-nucleotide long non-coding RNA is filed under the name Cricetulus griseus (Chinese hamster). RNAcentral describes it as "lncRNA (ENSCGRG00015034272.1)". Lineage: Eukaryota; Metazoa; Chordata; Mammalia; Rodentia; Cricetidae. The record is from RNAcentral.